CAGUCGCCGCGGUAAUACGUAGGUCCCGAGCGUUGUCCGGAUUUAUUGGGCGUAAAGCGAGCGCAGGCGGUUAGAAAAGUCUGAAGUGAAAGGCAGUGGCUCAACCAUUGUAGGCUUUGGAAACUGUUUAACUUGAGUGCAGAAGGGGAGAGUGGAAUUCCAUGUGUAGCGGUGAAAUGCGUAGAUAUAUGGAGGAACACCGGUGGCGAAAGCGGCUCUCUGGUCUGUAACUGACGCUGAGGCUCGAAAGCGUGGGGAGCGAACAGGAUUAGAUACCCCCGUAGUCCCUGUCUCUUAUACA
Molecule: ribosomal RNA, 301 nt
Filed under: uncultured bacterium
Lineage: Bacteria
Description: partial 16S ribosomal RNA
Rfam family: Bacterial small subunit ribosomal RNA
Source: RNAcentral